This 757-nucleotide long non-coding RNA is filed under the name Homo sapiens (human). RNAcentral describes it as "HSALNT0357612". The record is from RNAcentral. Lineage: Eukaryota; Metazoa; Chordata; Mammalia; Primates; Hominidae.
GCCGCUUCUCCCUGCCCGCACUGUGAGUCCUGCACUCAGAUUCCCAAAUAAAUCCUGGGGCCUGAUGUAGGCACUGAGGAUGCAGGAUGCAGCAAUGAACGAAUGGGCCAGGCAUCAUGAAGUCUACAUCCAAGCGGUGCAUGCAGAAAGGAAACAGUGACUACGUAGGAUCAUGCCAGGACGUGAUGCAUGUAUCGAAUGAAGGAAUCUUCUUUCCCUCUCCCUGCUCCCAUCCAGCAGGUCUUUGACUUCCAAGCUGGGCCAAGGGAUGAGCUGCUGGGAGAUACGACCCUCAGUCCAGAGAGUCAAGUUGCUAGAAUAUGGCUGUACGGCAAUGCUGAGACAUCACGCUGAGCGAGAGUGGACAUCCUCAUUUUAUUCCUACCCUUACCGUGGAUCUCUCCUGUGCUUCACCACUCAGUAUAAUGCUGGCUGAGCUCUUCUGACAAAUACCUUCCAAGAUGUGAGGAAAACACACAUUCUGAAUAAAUGAAGCCGUACAGAAUCCACCUGGCAAAAAUGGAAACUGCCUGGAGGCCAGGGCUGAGGGAAGGCCUGGAGCAGAGCCGGUGCGCGACCUCGCAGUGAGCAGGGAGGGCAGGCUGGGGACGUUCACCACCCAGAACGCCUCUGCUCCCCGCAACCCUGAGACUCCAGGCUCCCCUGUUCCUCCCUCCGGGAGACCCUGCCCGUCCUCCCCGCGGGGCUCCUUCGCAGUUCGGGGGAAGGGACGGGUUGCGUCCUCGGGACCUUUCUC